Molecule: ribosomal RNA, 161 nt
Filed under: Fusarium sp.
Lineage: Eukaryota; Fungi; Ascomycota; Sordariomycetes; Hypocreales; Nectriaceae
Description: 5.8S ribosomal RNA
Rfam family: 5.8S ribosomal RNA
About the family: 5.8S ribosomal RNA (5.8S rRNA) is a component of the large subunit of the eukaryotic ribosome. It is transcribed by RNA polymerase I as part of the 45S precursor that also contains 18S and 28S rRNA.
Source: RNAcentral
AAACUUUCAACUGACGGAUCUCUUGGUUCUGGCAUCGAUGAAGAACGCAACAAAAUGCGAUAUGUAAUAGUGAAUUGCAUAAUUCAAUGAAUCAUCGAAUCUUUGACCGCACAUUGCGCCCGCCAGGUAUUCUGGUGGGCAUGCCUGUUCGAGCGUCAUUU